UUUCCAUGAUGAUAACUUUGUCCAGUUCUGCUACUGAUUAAAAGUGGUGACAUCGAAGACACCUGAGAAA
This is a small nucleolar RNA of Salarias fasciatus (jewelled blenny), 70 nucleotides long. Lineage: Eukaryota; Metazoa; Chordata; Actinopteri; Blenniiformes; Blenniidae. The record is from Ensembl.